CCCAGAGGUAUUGAUUGGUGAGAAUUUCUUAGUACGAUUUCUGUACUUCUCUCUUGCACCGACCUGCGCAGAUGCGCAGGUUUUUUUU
This 88-nucleotide small RNA is filed under the name Enterobacter sp. CC120223-11. RNAcentral's name for it is "OmrA-B family". It matches the Rfam family "OmrA-B family". Lineage: Bacteria; Pseudomonadati; Pseudomonadota; Gammaproteobacteria; Enterobacterales; Enterobacteriaceae. The record is from RNAcentral.